AUACUUACCUAGAAGAAGAGAUACCAUGAUCACAAAGGUCGUUUUCCUGGGGUGAGGCUUAUCCAUCACAUCCAGAACAUCUUGAUAUUCUAACCCCUACGGUUUCCCCAAAUUCAGGAAACUCAACUGCAUACUUGGUGGUAGUGAGGAACUGUAUUCAUGCUCCCCUGU
Molecule: small nuclear RNA, 171 nt
Filed under: Mus caroli (Ryukyu mouse)
Lineage: Eukaryota; Metazoa; Chordata; Mammalia; Rodentia; Muridae
Description: predicted gene, 23741 (MGP_CAROLIEiJ_G0035450.1)
Rfam family: U1 spliceosomal RNA
About the family: U1 is a small nuclear RNA (snRNA) component of the spliceosome (involved in pre-mRNA splicing). Its 5' end forms complementary base pairs with the 5' splice junction, thus defining the 5' donor site of an intron.
Source: RNAcentral